UAGUCAUAUGGAUUUUUGAAUUCCGGUUGAUCCUGCCGGAGAUUACUGCUAUUCGGGUUUGACUAAGCCAUGUUAGUCUUGGGUGCUUGCAUCCAGGGCGUACAGCUCAGUAACACGUAGUCAACCUACCCUCGAGUCUAGAAUAAUCCCGGGAAACUGGGGCUAAUGCUGGAUAGAUGAGAGAUACUGGAAUGUUCUUUCGUCCAAAGAUACGCUCGAGGAUGGGACUGCGGUUGAUUAGAUUGAUGCCGGGGUAAAUUCCCGACAUGUCGAUAAUCAAUACGGGCCUUGAGAGAGGAAGCCCGGAGAUGGAUUCUGAGACAAGAAUCCAGGUCCCACGGGACGCAUCAGGCGCGAAAAUUCCACAAUGCGCGAAAGCGUUAUGGAGAAACCCGAAGUGGCUUCGCUAAGCGGAGUCUUUUGUCAAAUGUAAAAAGUUUGGAGAAUAAGGGGUGGGUAAGACGGGUGCCAGCCGCCGCUGGCAUACCCGCGCCCCGAGUAGUAAUCAUGUUCAUUGCGUAUACAGCGCCCCUAGCCGGUUUGUUUCCUUCUAACCCCAUCCUCCCGCCUGCUCCCUCCCAUUGCUGAGAUCCCCCCCCAAACUCCUGUACUUCUUCAGCCUUUGCGACCUUACCUCCCUUUAAGACUUGCUCUUUAACUUCCCUCCCGCACCCAAACUGGAUCUGGCCCCCCUUCCCAACUCUUUUCCACCUGCCCUUUUUCUUCCCUUGCCCAACCCCUUUUCUCCCAUCCCCGUACUCCCCUCCUAGUGUUUUCCUCCCCUCCCCAGUUACACCCCCUCUCUACCUUAGAGUCCCUUCUCUCCACCCCGGGUCCCCUCUUAUCAUUCUCAU
RNAcentral lists this ribosomal RNA (854 nucleotides) under uncultured archaeon. RNAcentral's name for it is "bacterial SSU rRNA". The stretch from base 23 to 507 matches the Rfam family "Archaeal small subunit ribosomal RNA", at positions 4 to 496 of the family's 1478-position model. The record is from RNAcentral.